GUGCUUGCUUUGGCAGCACAUAUACUAAAAUUGAAAUGAUACAGAGAAGACUAACAUGGCCCCUGCGCAAGGGUGACAUGCAAAUUUGUAAAGUGUUCCAUAUUAAA
This is a small nuclear RNA of Hyla sarda, 107 nucleotides long. NCBI's taxonomy places the organism in Eukaryota, Metazoa, Chordata, Amphibia, Anura, Hylidae. The record is from RefSeq and is a predicted model, not a curated record.